RNAcentral lists this ribosomal RNA (475 nucleotides) under Anaplasma phagocytophilum. Its description in RNAcentral is "bacterial SSU rRNA". It matches the Rfam family "Bacterial small subunit ribosomal RNA", at positions 94 to 604 of the family's 1533-position model. Lineage: Bacteria; Pseudomonadati; Pseudomonadota; Alphaproteobacteria; Rickettsiales; Anaplasmataceae. The record is from RNAcentral.
AGUGGCAGACGGGUGAGUAAUGCAUAGGAAUCUACCUAGUAGUAUGGGAUAGCCACUAGAAAUGGUGGGUAAUACUGUAUAAUCCCUGCGGGGGAAAGAUUUAUCGCUAUUAGAUGAGCCUAUGUUAGAUUAGCUAGUUGGUAGGGUAAAGGCCUACCAAGGCGAUGAUCUAUAGCUGGUCUGAGAGGAUGAUCAGCCACACUGGAACUGAGAUACGGUCCAGACUCCUACGGGAGGCAGCAGUGGGGAAUAUUGGACAAUGGGCGCAAGCCUGAUCCAGCUAUGCCGCGUGAGUGAGGAAGGCCUUAGGGUUGUAAAACUCUUUCAGUAGGGAAGAUAAUGACGGUACCUACAGAAGAAGUCCCGGCAAACUCCGUGCCAGCAGCCGCGGUAAUACGGAGGGGGCAAGCGUUGUUCGGAAUUAUUGGGCGUAAAGGGCAUGUAGGCGGUUCGGUAAGUUAAAGGUGAAAUGCCA